Molecule: ribosomal RNA, 233 nt
Filed under: uncultured bacterium
Lineage: Bacteria
Description: partial 16S ribosomal RNA
Rfam family: Bacterial small subunit ribosomal RNA
Source: RNAcentral
CCACGGGUGAGUAACACGUAUCCAACCUGCCGUCUACUCUUGGACAGCCUUCUGAAGGAAGAUUAAUACAAGAUGGCAUCAUGAGUCCACAUGUUCACAUGAUUAAAGGUAUUCCGGUAGACGAUGGGGAUGCGUUCCAUUAGAUAGUAGGCGGGGUAACGGCCCACCUAGUCUUCGAUGGAUAGGGGUUCUGAGAGGAAGGUCCCCCACAUUGGAACUGAGACACGGUCCAA